This 549-nucleotide ribosomal RNA is filed under the name uncultured bacterium. Its description in RNAcentral is "bacterial SSU rRNA". It matches the Rfam family "Bacterial small subunit ribosomal RNA", at positions 771 to 1319 of the family's 1533-position model. The record is from RNAcentral.
ACCCAAUAGAUACCCAGGUAGUCCACGCUGUAAACGAUGGGUACUAGAUUUGGUGGGUCUUGACCCCCGCCGAAAUCGGCGCUAAACGCAAAUAAGUACCCCGCCUGGGAAGUACGGUCGCAAGACUAAAACUCAAAGGAAUUGACGGGGGCCCGCACAAGCGGUGGAUCAUGUGGUUUAAUUCGAAGCAACGCGAAGAACCUUACCUGGAUUUGACAUCCUCGGACAUCCGUAGAGAUACGGCUUCGUAGCAAUACGACCGGGAGACAGGUGCUGCAUGGCUGUCGUCAGCUCGUGUGGUGACAUGUUGGGUUAAGUCCCGCAACGAGCGCAACCCUUGUCCUUAGUUGCCAGCAUUCAGUUGGGCUCUCUAAGGAGACUGCCGUGGUUAACACGGAGGAAGGUGGGGAUGACGUCAAGUCCUCAUGGCCUUUAUAUCCAGGGCGACACACGUGAUACAAUGGACGGUACAGAGGGACGCUAACCCGCGAGGGGAGCUAAUCUCAAAAAGCCGUUCUCAGUUCGGAUUGGAGUCUGCAACUCGACUCC